Molecule: ribosomal RNA, 220 nt
Filed under: uncultured prokaryote
Description: partial 16S ribosomal RNA
Rfam family: Bacterial small subunit ribosomal RNA
Source: RNAcentral
UACGAAGGGUGCAAGCGUUAAUCGGAAUUACUGGGCGUAAAGCGUGCGUAGGCGGUUUCUUAAGUCUGCUGUGAAAGCCCUGGGCUCAACCUGGGAAUGGCGGUGGAUACUGAGAAGCUGGAGUACGGUAGAGGAAGGUGGAAUUCCCGGUGUAGCGGUGAAAUGCGUAGAGAUCGGGAGGAACAUCAGUGGCGAAGGCGGCCUUCUGGACCAGUACUGA